AAGUCGGACGCCGUGGUGUA
RNAcentral lists this microRNA (20 nucleotides) under Singapore grouper iridovirus. RNAcentral's name for it is "miRNA-6". Lineage: Varidnaviria; Bamfordvirae; Nucleocytoviricota; Megaviricetes; Pimascovirales; Iridoviridae. The record is from RNAcentral.